AUUGAACGCUGGCGGCAGGCCUAACACAUGCAAGUCGAGCGGACGAAGGGAGCUUGCUCCUGGAUUCAGCGGCGGACGGGUGAGUAAUGCCUAGGAAUCUGCCUGGUAGAGGGGGAUAACGUCCGGAAACGGGCGCUAAUACUGCAUACGUCCUGAGGGAGAAAGAGGGGGAUCUUCGGAACUCACGCUUUUAGAUGAGCCUAGGUCGGAUUCCCUAGUUGGUGGGGUAAAGGCCUACCAGGGCGACGAUCCGUAACUGGUCUGCGAGGAUGACCAGUCACACUGGAACUGAGACACGGUCCAGACUCCUACGGGAGGCAGCAGUGGGGAAUAUUGGACAAUGGGCGAAAGCCUGAUCCAGCCAUGCCGCGUGUGUGAAGAAGGUCUUCGGAUUGUAAAGCACUUUAAGUUGGGAGGAAGGGCAGUAAGUUAAUACCUUGCUGUUUUGACGUUACCAACAGAAUAAGCACCGGCUAACUUCGUG
RNAcentral lists this ribosomal RNA (484 nucleotides) under uncultured bacterium. RNAcentral describes it as "partial 16S ribosomal RNA". It matches the Rfam family "Bacterial small subunit ribosomal RNA", at positions 30 to 507 of the family's 1533-position model. The record is from RNAcentral.